Zingiber officinale is the source of this 663-nucleotide long non-coding RNA. RefSeq lists it as uncharacterized. NCBI's taxonomy places the organism in Eukaryota, Viridiplantae, Streptophyta, Magnoliopsida, Zingiberales, Zingiberaceae. The record is from RefSeq and is a predicted model, not a curated record. The transcript is spliced from 2 exons.
CCGGAGGAGAUGAACUCGCCGGCGACAUCAACGUCCUCGUCGCGUGACAGGCUGACGACGUGGCCGCUCGACGUGCGGCGCGCGAACUUGACGGGCGUCUUCUUGGUCGGCGAUGAUGGCAUGGUACGUACAAUUCUCUUCCCCUUCUCCCUCUGGAUUACGGAUUCUUCCUAUCUAAGCUGCAUUGUUUUAUUUACUAUUUUCUCUGUUUUCUCGAGGGCAAAUUGGUUGAAAUGGUGGCAGCGCAAUGGACGAGGACGACAAAACUGGUGAUUCCAGCUGGAACAGAGCUGAUAAACUGAACACAAGUUUUUUAUGAUCACGACCCACUGUCUUCAAUCAUGUGGACGUCAGGUUUUGACAGUCAUCCCUAGAGUUCAUUCUUUUUGCAAGCCUUUGGCAUAUAGAUUUUAGUAGUUUCUUCAUCGCCAACACGAUCCUUUAUUGAUAGCCUCUGAAAUCAUGUAUAGUAUAAUACCUCUGAAAGCUAUUGUCUAGCAGGAAAUGAAGUUUAUUUGGUAGCCAAAGAUACUAUAUGUUUCAUGUUUGGAAUCUGUUUAUGUCAGUAAUCCUUUGUGUCACCCAGCUGGUCGUUUUGGGUAGCUGUUAUUGUUUAAACAGUACAAAUUCUACUAAUCAAGGAUUUUGAGUUUCAUCUAUUUA